UACGUAGGGUGCAAGCGUUGUCCGGAAUUAUUGGGCGUAAAGAGCUCGUAGGCGGUCUGUCGCGUCGGCUGUGAAAACCCGGAGCUCAACUCCGGGCCUGCAGUCGAUACGGGCAAACUGGAGUGUUGCAGGGGAGACUGGAAUUCCUGGUGUAGCGGUGAAAUGCGCAGAUAUCAGGAGGAACACCGGUGGCGAAGGCGGGUCUCUGGGCAACAACUGACGCUGGGGAGCGAAAGCGUGGGGAGCGAACAGG
Molecule: ribosomal RNA, 253 nt
Filed under: uncultured bacterium
Lineage: Bacteria
Description: partial 16S ribosomal RNA
Rfam family: Bacterial small subunit ribosomal RNA
Source: RNAcentral